GGAUUAGAUACCCUGGUAGUCCACGCCGUAAACUAUGAUUACUCGUUUUCAGCCCCUUGGGGUUGGAGACUAAGCGAAAGUGAUAAGUAAUCCACCUGGGGAGUACGAUCGCAAGGUUGAAACUCAAAGGAAUUGACGGGGGCCCGCACAAGCGGUGGAGCAUGUGGUUUAAUUCGAUGAUACGCGAGGAACCUUACCAGGGCUUAAAUGUAGAGGGAAUUAUGUGGAAACAUGUAAGUCUUCGGACCGUCUACAAGGUGCUGCAUGGCUGUCGUCAGCUCGUGCCG
This 287-nucleotide ribosomal RNA is filed under the name uncultured bacterium. RNAcentral describes it as "partial 16S ribosomal RNA". It matches the Rfam family "Bacterial small subunit ribosomal RNA", at positions 775 to 1067 of the family's 1533-position model. The record is from RNAcentral.